UCCACUUUUAUUGUUUGUGUCUAAGUCUUUGUGUUGAAUCUGGCAGUUUUUCUGCUGGAAGUUCAAGAAGAAGGUACCGGUUCUACCUGUACAUCCGUCCGGCAUUUCAAAAGUUAUGGCGAUAGAUUUCCGACGUGGUUUUGGAAGAUAAAUUCAGUGAUCUACUCCUGACCCUGGGUCAACUUGUUUAGAUCUAAUCAGAAGAUUAGAUUGCCAGAGAAAGUUCAGCCCAUAGCAGAACUUGAAUUGAAUCUGGAAUUCGGAUACUGAACCGAAAUGGAUUGAAUAAAUAAUGAGAACAACC
Pecten maximus is the source of this 304-nucleotide long non-coding RNA. RefSeq lists it as uncharacterized. The transcript is spliced from 3 exons. Lineage: Eukaryota; Metazoa; Mollusca; Bivalvia; Pectinida; Pectinidae. The record is from RefSeq and is a predicted model, not a curated record.